UCUUUCACUUCCAAAUCCCAAUUCCCAAGAAACAAAUUUGAUAAAAUCAUCAAGAGCCCAUGAGUUUUCUCAAGGAUUUGGCUCUAAAGGAGGCUUUUUUCGCACUUGGAGCAAGAGAUUUUCUCACUUGGAGAUUUGGAAUCGGAUUUGCAGCAAAGGAUUUAAGUAAUGUUCCUUGUAUGGCAGAUCGAACACCUUCAAGUAUAGUGAGGCUGGCUAGAGUACUAAUCACUGAUAAUUAGCUUCUGGGGCACAUGAUGUGGCUGCAUAGACAAGACUCCUAGGAGAAGUUUGAGGGAUCUCAGUGAAGCCAAUAACAAUGAUGCUGAUA
Molecule: long non-coding RNA, 331 nt
Organism: Rosa chinensis
Lineage: Eukaryota; Viridiplantae; Streptophyta; Magnoliopsida; Rosales; Rosaceae
Exons: 3
Source: RefSeq, a predicted model, not a curated record